CCUACGGGAGGCAGCAGUAGGGAAUCUUCCACAAUGGACGCAAGUCUGAUGGAGCAACGCCGCGUGAGUGAAGAAGAUUUUCGGAUCGUAAAGCUCUGUUGUUGGUGAAGAAGGAUAGAGGUAGUAACUGGCCUUUAUUUGACGGUAAUCAACCAGAAAGUCACGGCUAACUACGUGCCAGCAGCCGCGGUAAU
Molecule: ribosomal RNA, 194 nt
Filed under: uncultured Lactobacillus sp.
Lineage: Bacteria; Bacillati; Bacillota; Bacilli; Lactobacillales; Lactobacillaceae
Description: partial 16S ribosomal RNA
Rfam family: Bacterial small subunit ribosomal RNA
Source: RNAcentral